UGGGGAAUUUUGCACAAUGGGGGAAACCCUGAUGCAGCGACGCCGCGUGAUUUAGAAGGCCUUCGGGUUGUAAAAAUCUUUUCUAUGGGAAGAAAAUGACAGUACCAUAGGAAUAAGGACCGGCUAAUUACGUGCCAGCAGCCGCGGUAAUACGUAAGGUCCGAGCGUUGUCCGGAAUCAUUGGGCGUAAAGGGUACGUAGGCGGGUAAGCAAGUUAGAAGUGAAAUCCUGUAGCUCAACUACAGUAAGCUUUUAAAACUGCUCAUCUUGAGAUAUGGAAGGGAAAGUGAAAUUCCUAGUGUAGCGGUGAAAUGCGCAGAUAUUAGGAAGAAUACCGGUGGCGAAGGCGACUUUCUGGCCAUAAUCUGACGCUGAGGUACGAAAGCGUGGGUAGCAAACAGG
This 402-nucleotide ribosomal RNA is filed under the name Bacteroidota bacterium. RNAcentral's name for it is "Bacteroidetes bacterium partial 16S ribosomal RNA". It matches the Rfam family "Bacterial small subunit ribosomal RNA", at positions 355 to 776 of the family's 1533-position model. Lineage: Bacteria; Pseudomonadati; Bacteroidota. The record is from RNAcentral.